AACUCUGACCUUUGUCAAUGACUUGUCCAUUAGAUAAGGGAUCAUAUAUUCCUCCAUUCUAGAUAUCAUAUGGACUGAGACAUGGAUUAUAAUCAUUCUCUCUGUCCAUUUGUUGUUUCCCGAUUUCCGAUUUAUGACGACUGACUAAUUGAACAAAUCAAAUCAGUCCUGGCCCGGCCGAGCACUUCCAUUUGUCAUCAUCAAAUCAUCGAGGGGCCCACAGAUAUCGCUUUUAUCCCGAAGGUAAAAGGAAUGGAUAAACUUCGACUCAUAUGGCUUUUUCUACUACUUGUUGAAUCAUACACAAAGGCACGUUUUAUAACACCGAGUUACUGAGUGCGUUUUCGUUCAAUCAAUGUACAACCAACUCAUAGUAACAACUCAUAUCUCUAGGUUUGAAGAAUAUAAGAUAUUAUCGUCUCAUGAUCACUCGUGAUGAAAUCCAUGAAGUGAUUCCAAUGAGCGCGGGUUGAAUCCAAUACUCAGAACUUAUGAGCACUCAUGAGUGUUAUAGCCCUUUGUCCAACAUCUUAGACCUCUACAAGCCAACCCAUGACAGGCUUAAUUCAUAUCUACUUCCAACAUAUGAACGACUGUGGAUGGUUUGAAUAGCUUGGUCAUUCAGGAAGAACAACCUAGUUAUUCUGGAAGUCAAAACAUGCAAAAUGAAACACAAUAAUAAUAGAAUCUAAUAUGGUAUCAAAACCUAUGAAUAUAAAUAAAACACCUUUUAUUUAUGACCAUAUGACUACACAUUAUUCAUUGUAUACUGUUUCAUCUAUCAACUUUAUUCUUGAAUUUAAAACAAUAGUUGUCACAUGCUCCAAGCAGGUACUCUAUGUUUUCUAAACACUAGUCAUGCCAUACACCAAGUAUGCAUACUAUGUUUGUCUAUGAUCUUUACUUUGCGAAAUAGAUCAAUUGAACAUAAGUCCAAUGAUCCUCUUUUCAUAGUGCCAAAUCCUUACUGCAAAUGCAAGAAUUCCAAAUUCAUGCCAUUUACUGAAAUCUGUUAGAUUCUAAACUUAUAUGCGUUGAUCCUCUUCUAAUGAUUGUGCACAAAGUCAGAAAGACUUGACAACAAUCAUUACAGAGUAUUCCAAAGGAGAUUAGCUCCUUGGAAACAUCCUUCUUGCAUUAAGUUUCCUAAUCCUACACAGAUUUAAUAAUUUCUAACUUUGAAACAUUUCCAGACUCCAUUUUGACUAUCACUUCUGAAUAAGAGUUGCUUCCUUACAGAUUAUGUCAAAAUGAUCCUUCCAGAAUUAUCACUAUGCUUCCAAUUGUCCUUGAGCAACCAAUCUUUGGUAAACCUUAGAUUGUCCUCGACAAUUGUUUAAUCCUUUUAGUCAUAUCCAGUUCUAAACCUUUUCCCUUCUUAAUGCCCCAGGCAUUUGGAAAAUUUUAGAACGGAUGAAUAUAGCACAUGUAAUCGAUCCUAUAUCCGAAGCAUAUGGGACACGAUUCAUGAUGUCUCACAUAAAGACUAAACCAGUCUUUUGCUAUAAUAUUUCCAUUUCAAUUUGCCAAGUUCUCAUAAUUCAGAUUAUGAAAAGGGAUGCCGUAAUCAUAAUCGAAUUUUAGAACGCAAAUAAUGGACCCAUAUACAGAAUUUCCUUAUGUUGAGCCAUUCCAACAUGAAAUUCAUAUAUAUCCUUGACUAAAUGAUUAAAACCUCACGAUCUAAGCUUAUAGAUUUGAGAUGAAGCAUAAUUUCCUCUCCCUUAAUUAUAGCAAAACAACUUUUUCCCAAUUGAAACUUUUGUUUUCUAUAAUUAACAUUGCUAACUUGCAAUACUUAUCAUAAUUAUCAUGCUCCCACUAACAUGAUGAUUAUUAGCAUAACACUUAUGCUCCCACUAGCUUUGACAUGUACUCAGAAAUCAGCUGACUUUCUUACCAAAGUUCAGAUUUCUGAUACUAGAUUGUUUUGAUAAAACUUUAUCAAAAUCAUACACCUUCCCUUAGAUAGCACACUUGUGUGUCUAAACAAUUAUGAAGAGGGAUGCCGUAAUCAUAAUGGUUAGACCUUUUUGCCACUUCUCACAAGUCCAUGUUAGUGUGCCGGUUAACCACACACGCUCCACUAACGACUUUGAGAAUGCAAAUAUCACAAUUGCUAUCUAGCUAAAAUCUACUUAGUGAAAGUGUUUCCUCACCAUCAUUUUCAUGAAUCGGAGAGAAACCUUAUGACACUUAGAUUUAAUGGUGUAUGUGUUCUUAUCCAUGUGAAUUGUCAAAACCAUAGUCACAAGACAAGGAUAAUGACAAAUCCAAACUCAUAUGGACUGAACUCAAUCUUAAUUUCUUGCCACCUGGCAGCUCAAGGGCCUGCCAUUGCUUCCAAGUUGUUGUGCAACCAAUUGAGAACUCUAAGAACUCAUAUGCAAAGCCAACUUUAACUGGAAUGGGCACAGAAUAUGUCAACACGAUAGGUUAUAAACCUCAAGUCGUGUGCUAGUGAAGAACUUCAGGUUUUAUUCUUGAUUAGUUCUUGAGACUUUCAAGACCUUUAAGACUCCCACUGUCCUCUUGACAUAUAAGACUCCCUUGUCAAACAUCCAAGAGAUAGUGUGGAUUCUAAUCAAGACAAACACUUCACACAAUUGGCCUUAGUUGGUCUUUGUUUUAUCCAAAACAUCACAACUUACCAAUUUCAAAUGUACAAGAGUAGAAAACUUUUACUCUUACAUUUGACAAGUGUUUUAAAACUUCUUUAAGACGUGUCACUCAAGUUACAAUCUUAGGGUAUGACUCUAAGACUUGUAUUGGAAAAAAGUAUGACUCAUCUCCUUGAUUUAACCAUUUCAACAAUUCAAGUUCCUCUUCUUAGUCAUCAGAAUGCACUAAGAUUUCCUUAGAGAACUAAUUUUGAUAUGGUUUCUUAAUCAUUAAGAUGAUCAAAAAAACUGAUACUAAAGUACUCUCCCAUCUUUUCAGAUUUGAGAAACUUUUAUCCUGCUGCCUAAUUUGAUUCUUCUUAUUCGCUCUGCCUUACAUUGGAACCUUUUCCAAUGUCUCAGAAUUAAACUUAAGCUUUUAAGUAUAACCAUACUGAGCUUUAGCAAAUUAUGACGAAUAAUCUUAUCGAUCUUUUGUGGUGGACUUGACCAGGGCACAAGAAUGUGUACUUGAUCCCUUAGUCCUUAACAUGACUCACACAUCCAUGUGAACAAGUAAUUAGUCUUAAUUUUCCAAUACUUGAAAGUUCUCAUUCAUCAUGCUAUACAACUUGCAUGAUUCCAAGUUCCGGUCCAAUUGAAACUUGGGUGAUGAGAAUCUUUCCUUAUUUGGUAAAUUUAGACAUUACCACAAAUGAAAGAAUCAAUUUCAUAUUUCCACCCUUGCUAUUAAUGGAAUCUUAUAAGCAACAAAAAUUUCCACAGAUGCCAUUGUAAGGAUAUUUUUAAAAUAAAUAAAAUCAAAAUUUUCCUUUUAUUUUAAAACUUUGCGAAAAAAACUAUCCUUACAGUGCAAAAGCACAUGAAAUCUUUGGUGCUAUCCAUUCCUAAGGAAUAUAUCAUAACUCCUAAGAAGUAGCUCAAGAAUCCGAUCUUCAAACCAUGCGAUAGAAAUCCAUCUACGCGAUCAGAUUCAGCAUAUUCUUUCUUUAAGUUUCUUCAAUUUUUCUUUGAUUCUUAAACAUCAACAUGUGACCCAGUCACAUCAUGUAUCAAGAAUCUCAGAAUGGAAACUUAGCAGAGUUAGAUAGUGGACUUUACCUGAAGUAGAGUAAAACUUAUUGACUUUUAACAUCCUUAGGGGAAUUUGUCAGCUUUGCAACCAAUGCCCAUUCCUAUGGCAACAUAACAUAUGGACCCUUUGGUAAUGGUACAUAGGACUAUCACAGCGUUAGCCUUUCUCUUUACCAUUUGGUCAACUGAGUUGACUAUGGUCGAUCCCUUUCCACUAGGAAGAGAGAGCUUUACUAGAUAUCCAAUGUCAUCAUUGUCAAUGUCCACUAAGUUUUAGGAAGUUGAUCUUAGCAAAUAGAUAAGAUCAUUAAGGGUCUUGUCAUAGUCUAUUUGAUAUGUGUUCCAAAGGAACUCACUAUGUGACUUAGAAAGUGAUUGAACCACCAACUUUCUCAAGACUUUGACACCCAACUCUCCCGGCUUGUCAAUAUGUGACUUCAUCUCCAAGAUGUGAUCACACCUAGACCUUGCCUUGCCACUAGGGAUUGAGUGACCUUAAACUUUUCAGGAACUUGUGGGUUAGGGAGAAUAAUUGGAGGAGGUGAAAGAAGUAAGAUUUCCAUGGGACAUCAUCUUCAUUUAGGAAAGCCUAGUUUCAAGAGAUUUGGGAAGAUCAUAGAUGUCUAAACCAGACAUCUUUUGGGAGAUAUUCAAGAUAGUUGAUUUAAAGUCCUUAAUAUAACACCNGACACCCAAUAUGAAAUAUUAAGGCUAGGACCCAACAAACUAUUUUAUAACUGAGAAGAGGGAUGCCGUAAUCCAAGCUAUAAAAUAUUUGAAGGUAGGUGAAUGACGAUUCACCAAUUUCCACCAAGAUAAACGAAAUGUAUUAUUAGGUUUUAAUUGGAUUUGAAACUCCUAGAUCUUUUGAGAUUCAUUGAAUUGUUCAAUGGCAUGUUUCAAUCUCGAGUGUGCCCUUCAGGUUUUGUGACUGGGAUGCCGAGGAUCACAAAACAAGGUGUGAAGUAACCAUGCAAAUUACUUGGUACCCUUAAGUGUUUACCCCUCAAUCGAUGUGNNNNNNNNNNNNNNNNNNNNNNNNNNNNNNNNNNNNNNNNNNNNNNNNNNNNNNNNNNNNNNNNNNNNNNNNNNNNNNNNNNNNNNNNNNNNNNNNNNNNNNNNNNNNNNNNNNNNNNNNNNNNNNNNNNNNNNNNNNNNNNNNNNNNNNNNNNNNNNNNNNNNNNNNNNNNNNNNNNNNNNNNNNNNNNNNNNNNNNNNNNNNNNNNNNNNNNNNNNNNNNNNNNNNNNNNNNNNNNNNNNNNNNNNNNNNNNNNNNNNNNNNNNNNNNNNNNNNNNNNNNNNNNNNNNNNNNNNNNNNNNNNNNNNNNNNNNNNNNNNNNNNNNNNNNNNNNNNNNNNNNNNNNNNNNNNNNNNNNNNNNNNNNNNNNNNNNNNNNNNNNNNNNNNNNNNNNNNNNNNNNNNNNNNNNNNNNNNNNNNNNNNNNNNNNNNNNNNNNNNNNNNNNNNNNNNNNNNNNNNNNNNNNNNNNNNNNNNNNNNNNNNNNNNNNNNNNNNNNNNNNNNNNNNNNNNNNNNNNNNNNNNNNNNNNNNNNNNNNNNNNNNNNNNNNNNNNNNNNNNNNNNNNNNNNNNNNNNNNNNNNNNNNNNNNNNNNNNNNNNNNNNNNNNNNNNNNNNNNNNNNNNNNNNNNNNNNNNNNNNNNNNNNNNNNNNNNNNNNNNNNNNNNNNNNNNNNNNNNNNNNNNNNNNNNNNNNNNNNNNNNNNNNNNNNNNNNNNNNNNNNNNNNNNNNNNNNNNNNNNNNNNNNNNNNNNNNNNNNNNNNNNNNNNNNNNNNNNNNNNNNNNNNNNNNNNNNNNNNNNNNNNNNNNNNNNNNNNNNNNNNNNNNNNNNNNNNNNNNNNNNNNNNNNNNNNNNNNNNNNNNNNNNNNNNNNNNNNNNNNNNNNNNNNNNNNNNNNNNNNNNNNNNNNNNNNNNNNNNNNNNNNNNNNNNNNNNNNNNNNNNNNNNNNNNNNNNNNNNNNNNNNNNNNNNNNNNNNNNNNNNNNNNNNNNNNNNNNNNNNNNNNNNNNNNNNNNNNNNNNNNNNNNNNNNNNNNNNNNAUGUGACUCUUCAUGUAACUUGAGGACAAGUUACACAAACACAUUUUAUACUCAACUCUUAGAUUAAAAUGGAUUGAAAACAACUAUAUCAAUUAACUUUUCUAUUAAUCUAAGCAACUCAUAAGAACAAGAUAAUUCAAAUCAAACUUUUUCAUGUAAUUAGUCUAAACCUUAAACUAAUACAAAACAUGAAUCUAUUGACAAUUAUCUUUGAAAUUGGAUUAGCAUGAACAUUACCACAUCAAAAACAAGUUUGUAAGGUCAAAAACAGCUUAUGGUAAUGUUCCUAGUCCAAUUCCAGCCAAAAACCACGAAGAUAUGUUGUUUGGAGGCCAAACUCGUCGAGUUCUUCAUGGAACUCAUCGAUUUCAUGCUCCAAUACAUGAACUCGUCGAGUUUUCUACCAGAACUCGUCGAGUUUUAGGCUCUGACAAUUUCUUGGCUUCGAAAAAUCUAUUUGCAUCAAGUAUAAGACAAAGCAUGCCGAGGCUCUAAUACCAAUGUUGGGUUUUGAGCAUUCUAACACUCCUAUGUGUACAUGCAACCCUAAAUACCUUGGAUCUAUGUUUUCUCUAUUAUACAUACAAAUAUGAACAUCCAAGGUAUUAUCCUCAUCUAAGCUAUAAAACAAUGAAUAUAACAAGAUAGAAUACAUACCUCUUUGAUGUAGAAUGUCUUCAUGAAGCUUGAGUGCCAAGUGCCUCAAGUGUGACACCUAAAAUGGUUCACACAACACCAAAUACACAUGGAAAAACUUGAGAGAAAUCUACACUUCAUGAAAUCGGCUAGCCCUUCUAUUACACUCACUAGUGCCGAUUUUGGUGAAUAAUAUGAUGCUUAUAUAGUGUCUAACAAUUAGGGUUACACCAUGUAAACCCUAAUUGUCAUGACCUUUCAUUUCCAUGACCCAUGGGUUAUGUAACCUCUAUGGAGCAUUCAUGGAGUAUCCUAUGGGUUUAACCCAACUUGAUUAUCCAUGGAGCUUUGGCCCACUAUAUAAGUUAUGGAUUAUUUGCACAAUCAACCCAUAUAUUUAAUUAGUCUUCUUUUGAUCACAUAAUUAACUCUAAAUUAGUUCUUGAUCAAUACUAAUUAAAUACUAUUAUUCUUAUUAUUAAUAUACUAGAACUUAUAAUAUAUUAAUAACCAUAAGUGUCUUAUUUCUCUCAUUUAGUCUAUCCAAAUGCAUGAUGCCAUGCAACCUAAAUGGAUCAUGACGGGUCAGGUCAAGUCUUACCAAUUAUAGUUAUGGACUUAGACAUUAAUCCAACAGUAAAAACUCAAACUCUACCACCACAUGCUGCCACCAACCACCUGUAUCAUGUAACACCCCAAUUCUGGUAUGUUAUUUAAAUAGUUAUUUUUCAAGUUUCAAGAGGAACUAGACGAGUCAGUAGCCAGACUCGUCGAGUUGAGUCGGGAUUUUGAGCACGUGUAAGUUGGGGACUCGACGAGUCCAUAUUUCGGACUCGGCGAGUCCGCCAGCCUGGAUGAAACCCUACUUUCAAGGGUUUUCACCCUAUUUAAUCAACUUUUGGGACCCCAAGUCAGCCCCCAUCACCCUCCAUAGCAUCCUUCUCGAAACCCUAGAACUCUAUUAGCAUUUUGUGUGAUUUGGUGUGAUUCUAUGAAGAUCUUGAGAGAAGAAGGAAGGUAGAUCAAGAGGAGAAGAAGGAGAUCCAAGAUCCUUGUGGCAUUUCAGAGUAUAGUAAGGUAUAACUCGACCCUUUUCUGUUUCUAGGCUUUAAUCCCCAUUGGAACACCAUUAAAGCUAUUCUUGAACCGUUUAUUGGCUUGGUAGUAGCAUAGACGACACAUUGAGAUGAAUAGCCUUUGGAUCUAGCUAUGUUUGAGUUCAUGAAGCCUAGAUCUAAUACCUUUAUGGGGCCAUAUUGCAUGAAAGCCCUAGAUCUACUCUUAUAAGUGUGAUUUGAGACUUAAACCUUCAUUUGGUGUUUGUUUACACGUAAAGUUGGAAACUUUACGUGUUAAACAAGCCCUUAGAACCCAGAUCUACGAAUGGUAUGAACUGGAUUCAAGCAGAAUUGAGUAUAUAGUGGUUGCAUGUAUACGACUCGGAGAGUCGUUCUUCAGACUCGACGAGUCGAGUCGCGAGUCCUCUGUUUUCCCCUUUUCGAGUUAUGCCGAGUGGAGCUAGUGAGUGAGAGUGGACUCAGUGAGCUGGAGGUUAGAAUCAUUCAUGGAAGGGCUCAGCGAGUCAAUGCCCUAACUCGGCGAGUUCAAGGCAAUCUUCAUGCCUCAAGAACAGACUCGGCGAGUUGUUCAUACAACUCUGCGAGUCACAGCCAGAGUAUUCAUCUGAUGAAGGAGAACUCAGCGAGUUGUUCAUACAACUCGGCAAGUCGGAUGUAGAUUGUCUGAGUGUUAGUAUCGAAGCGGAACUCACCGAGUCUAUGCCAAACUUGACGAGUAGUAGCGAGCAGAGCAAGAAGGUGAGAGUAAGGACUCGACGAGUCAGGUCAACUGAAUGUUGACUUUGACCGAUAGGUUAACUUUGGCCAGGGUAAGAUAGUCAUUUUACGCUCAGUAUUAUUAUCAGUAUUUUGAUUGAGGGUACUUAUGGAAAGUGUAGCCGGGGUGAAACCGGAUCCCAGCAGACAAAUUCGGGAGCAGUUCUUUCAGCAGCUAGGCUACGAGGUGAGUUUCCUUUCAGUAGGAACGGGUCUAAGGCCACAAUGACGGACCGUUUAGCUAGCACUAGUUUACGGACUUCGGUCCGAUACAAUAGUUCGUAUGUUUGAUGCCUUCGUGGCUCAGACAGGAUUUAUGUGUUAUGUGUUCUGGACUAUGGCCCGAUGCAGUAUGCAGUUAUGUGUUCAUGCUAGUUGAUAUGUUUAUGCUAUGCUAUGUUAUGCUCAGUCAGCUUCCGGACUCUGGUCCGAUGCAGAAGGCAAGGCCCUGGUUAGUUCCGGACUUCGGUUCGAUGCAGUUAGUUCUGGACUCGGUCCGAUGCAGGGGACAAGGUCCUAGACAGUUCCGGACUUCGGUCCGGUGCAGUUUCCGAGCUUUGGUCUGAUGCAGAGGGCAAGGCCCUGGUUAGUUCCGGACAUCGGUCCGAUGCAGUGGGCAAGACCCAGUAUGUGUUAUAUGUUAUUGUAGGGUAUGUGUUAGUAUGGGGGAGCUCACUAAGAUUUGUGCUUACAGUUUCAGUUUUGGCUUCAGGUACUUCCGCAAGUAAAGGGAAGAGCUUGGGAUGAUGGCAUUGCACACACCACAACUUCAGUCUUAUUCCUGGUAGUUUGUUUUGGUUUCAUAGUUUGUUUUGGCACAAAUGUUCAUGACAUUUUAUUAUGAGUUGAGAUAUUUGACAUAUGGUUUCAUGAUAUGACGAUCAGUAUAUGAUUUUUAUUAUUAUUAAAACAAAAUUUUUGGGUCGUAUUUUUGGAUGUUACAAGUUGGUAUCAGAGCCUUGGUUUGAGAGAUUUACGCACACUCUCGGGUGUGACUGGACUCAAACUGAGGAAAUGGUAGAAGGAUUUUCACAAGUAUUUUCAAAGGGAUUUUUGAAAAAAAACUUAAAAGGGAGAAAGAGUUUUGAGAAAAGAAAAAGGGUGUGGUGCAUGCGAUCAGCCGAGCUCAAGUAAGUACUCCCAAAUUACCCAUACAAGUUUAUGUUAUUAUUAUCAGUUUCAGUUUCAAUAGAACAGCAUGCUAGAAUAGGACUAAGGAUGUAGGAGGUUGCCUUAUGUGCAUGCUAUGUGUGUUUCAGCUUUAUGAGAAUUGCAUGCUAGUUGAAUAGACAACAAUAGGAUAGCAUGUUUAGGCUAUGCCUGAUAGUAUGAUCUUAGCAUUUUAUGCCAGUAUAGUUCCUUGUUAUGAGGACAGAAUUACUUGAGUAGUUUCCUGUGUCAGAAUGUUGCUUGCUUUGUGCUUUGUGGGGCUCUAAGUGAUGGGAGUUAGCCGUUAGGUGAAUACGUCACGUCACAUGUGAACAGGGUUGAAUAAUCUCAGAGUGCUAGAUUUGGCCCUAUUGCGCAGCUCUUGUAUGUGUAUAACCGUUGUAAGGACGAGCCUUUUACUCGAGGGAUUAUCUGGACCUCGCCACAUGUGAUGGUAUUCAGGUGAUGGCCAAUUGGCAUUACAAGGAGGCCUUCAGUAGCUGAGGACUGGAUUGGAUAGAGUCAGAGAUUUCCCUAGGGCAAGCCUAGGAUGGGAGUAGCAGAGAUUAGUAGUAGUAGAUGUGACUUGGUAGAGUCAAGGCAAUACUUGAGGAAAGUGCGGAUAGAUAUGGAAGGUAGUAUGGGCCCGUACUACUGAAAGCAGAAGAUCCGUACUCGAAUCAAGGAAAGCUGAGAUGAGACCAGGAAAUUUUUAAUAGUAGUGAUCCCUCGAGAUAUAUUUAUGUUCCUGAAGUUUAUUAUGAUGUGUUUUCAGAAUGGUGGUAUUAUGCCCUCGACCAGUAGUCGGCAGUUCAGGUGCCGAAGGGGGAUCAGGACCAGACCCGGAGGCCGAGCAGUUGGAUGAGCAGAAUAAGGAGUUUCUCUAUUCAAAGAUUACUCGCACCAUACUUGAGCAGACUCCUGUGAUCUUCGGUUCGAUCAAGGAGGUCAUUUUAGAGUUGAUGAACGAGAGGUUGAGCACUUUCUGUGCUGAGGUAGCGGCCAUGAUGGGGUCGCGCACGCUUACUUUCAGGGCAUUUCGGGCAUGUGGAGCUCCAGAUUACCACGGGGCGCAGGACCCCAUAACGAGUACUAGAUGGUUGGCGGAUGUAGACAACGCUUUCUGCACAAGCAGAUGUCCCGAGGGGGACAAGUUCAGAUUGGCGUCCUGUCUUCUGAAGGACAGGGCACAGGAUUGGUGGGAGGAGGUCGGUCAUGCCAUUGGGGAUGACGCAGCUUUGGAUGCUAUGACCUGCGCUGACUUCACUACCAGGUUCAGGGCGGAGUUUGCACUAGUUAUUGAGGUGCAACAGUUGGCCAGAGAGUUUCAGGAUCUUACCCAGACUAUAGAGACAGUGGCGGAGAUUACCGCCAAGUUCAGGGAGAGGGCUCUUCUUGUUCCCCAGUAUGCGACUGAUGAGGAAAUGGAGAAGGCUUGUUAUCAUGAGAUGCUACGGAGUGAUAUCCGCCAGUUCGUGAGCAGGUCCAGCUGUAAAACGUUGGAUGACAUGCUUGCUAGGGCGAGAGAGAGAGAGAGAUAGAGAGAGAGAGAGAGAGAGAGAGAGAGAGAUUGACCUUGAGAUGGAGAGAAAGAGGAAGCCGGAGGCGGCUCCUGGUUCAGGGAGUUUGGGCAAAAAGCCCAAGGGUUCAGAUCACAGAGCUAGGAGUCAGCAGAGCCACGAUCGGUGUGGCAAGUGUGGGAGAUUGCACAAUGGGGCGUGCAAGGCAGGGAGUGCCGGCUGCUACAAGUGUGGCCGGACUUGGCAUAUGAGCAGAGAUUGUACAGCCACUGCUACCACCGUUGCGGCAUCAGAUCUGAUUUGCUUUCAGUGCUAUCAGAGGGGACAUAAAAAUUCCCAGUGUCCGAGUUUAGCUGCUGCGGGGAAGGUGUCAGCACCUGCUCCUGCUACUUUGAGGAUUACAGAUGGCCGUCAGGGCCGAGUCGAGACGCCGAUGGCGAAGAGUAGGGCUUUUCAGCUGACAGCAGAGGAGGCGCGGGCGACUCCUGAUGUGGUGACGGGUAUGUAUUUUCCCCUUAUCUCUGCAUUUAGUAUUGAUUGUUUCUUAUGGUUAUAUGUUUUGAAUAGGGUCGUUCUCAGUGAACGGCAUUUCAGCUACAGUAUUGUUUGAUUCAGGGGCUACCCGAUCAUUCGUCUCUCUUGCGCUUAGCAGGAGGUUUAGCAGAGCUCCAAGGGAGCUAGAUUGUCCACUUGUGGUUAACAUAGCAGCUGAUAGGACCGUUAGGGUUGCAAGGGUACACAGAGGGUGUUCCCUACAGUUAUUCGAUGAGCAGUUUCCGGUGGACAUGGUCCCUAUUCCCCUUCGAGGGAAUUAGGUUAUAGUAGGCAUGGAUUGGCUGAGACCCAAUGGGGCGGUGAUAGAUUGUGAGCUACAGUUGGUGAGGGUUCGCACUGCCAGUGGGGGAGAGUUAGUUAUUCAGGGCGAGAAGCCACAGCACAGACCAGUUCUGUGUUCAGCAGCGAGAGCGAGGCGCUACUUCCAGCAGGGUUGCGUUGGUUAUAUUGCCUAUGUUUUUGAUGCCCGGGAGAAGGGCAAGACGACAGUUGAUGAUGUUCCGGUGGUACGAGACUACCCGGAUGUAUUUCUAGAGGAUUUGCCGGGAAUACCUCCUAAGAGGCAGGUUGAGUUUGGGAUUGAUCAAAUCCCUGGUGCGGCUCCGAUAGCCAAGGCACUGUAUCGGUUGGCUCCCCCAGAGAUGCAGGAGUUGUCUACGUAGCUGCAAGAGCUGCUAGACAAGGGUUUUAUCAGGCCAAGCAGUUCGCCUUGGGGUGCACCGAUUUUGUUUGUAAAGAAAAAGGACGGGUCGCAUCGUAUGUGUAUAGAUUACCGGGAGCUCAAUAAGGUAACGGUGAAGAACCGUUACCCACUUCCGAGGAUAGAUGAUUUGUUUGAUCAGCUUCAGGGAGCAUCUUGGUUCUCCAAGAUUGAUUUACACUCCGGAUAUCAUCAGAUGCGGGUCAGAGGCAAGGAUGUGCAGAAGACUGCUUUCAGGACCAGGUAUGGUCAUUAUGAGUUUGUGGUGAUGCCGUUUGGGCUCACCAACGCUCCAGCCGCGUUCAUGGACCUCAUGAAUCGCGUUUGCAGGCCGAUGCUGGAUCGAUCUGUGAUAGUAUUCAUAGAUGAUAUCUUGUUGUAUUCCAAGACUCAGGAGCAGCACGGGGAGCACCUGAGAGAGGUGAUAGACGUUUUGAGAAGGGAGAGACUUUUCGCAAAGUUCUCCAAGUGCGAGUUCUGGUUGCGCGACGUGCAGUUCCUUGGUCACCUCAUCAACCAGAAGGGUAUUUUGCUAGAUCCGACCAAGAUAGAGGCCGUGAUGCAGUGGGAGGUCCCGAAGUCUCCAUCUGAGAUUCGGAGCAUCCUAGGUUUGGCAGGGUAUUACAGGAGAUUCAUCCAGGAUUUCUCCAAGAUAGCAGUACCGCUCACCCGACUGACCAAGAAGUCGGUAGCGUUUCGUUGGGGGCCUGAGCAGCAGGUAUAUGACUGCUAGUGAAUGCUACGGCUACCCCCGCAGACUUACAACACUACUACUAUCUGAUUGCUAGUGAAUGCUAUGGCUACCCCCGCAAACUUACAACACUCUAGUAUGAAGAGAUUUGUAAUCGAGUUUAAUGAUCAAUUCACAUAAGAAUUAAGAAAGAUGAAAAAGAUGUACACGAGAGUAAAGAUAAUCUUUGUUCAGCUCAUAUUAUGCUUUUAAUUUUACAGAGUACAAAGGAAUUCUCUGUAAAGAUUAUGUUCAAAAGUUCUCAACUCACUUAGUACAGACCCCUAUUUAUAGGAGAACAAAAGCAUAACAAAAUACUAAGGACUAGACAUUAAGACUAUUCAUUAUAAUGCCUUAGUAAAAAUAACAUUACAUCCGAAUACACUACUUACGUAUACUUAAGAUCCUUCAUAACAACCUAACUAACACUUCGACAUAUUACAACAUUUAUACCCUUACAAUCUCCCCCUUUGGAAUAAAGGUCGAAGUCUUCAUGAAGUUAAUAGUUGAACGGCAUACAUCAGCACUCUUCGGAUUUCCAUGUACCAAGAGAUAACUUUCUUUAUCUCCUUCUUGUCUCCUUCUGAAUUCUUCUUGCAAUGAUUCAUACGAACAAUUAAGUUCGUAUAUUGUGAAUUUGUGUAUCUCUCCACUUCAGAAGUUUGAAAUAAAAAUCUUUUAGCUCUCCCAGCUUUGUCUUUUCCUGCAAAGACAAUCCCCAAUGGCUUUAAACAUAUUUCACCGUCUCCGUAUUUUUUCAACUCAGCCUGCUUCUUCGUAGGUGUCAUUGGUGCAGUAAUGUCGAAGCCUUUAACAGUAGCAAGUUCGACAUCAGUUUGAGCUAAGCACUCGAAAUAAUUUUCCAAGAAAAUUUUUAUGUGCCUACACCCAAGACUGAAAACAUCUGGUUCUGUUUCUUGGAGAAAAGAGAAGGACUUGUCUUUAAGUAUCAGAGCAACAUUGAUGAGAUCAUAAGUGUUCAUGAAUGGAAAGUCUGCCACAGUGAACUCUUGUAUCUUUCCACUUGCUCUUGUCACAACAUAUUUCAAAUUCUGAAACUUUCCUUUGAAAAUGACAUCCCUUUUUAUGGGUAUCACCUUCUUAAUCUUCUCCAAGAACCAAACUUCUUCUUGAGCCUUUGCUAACACAGCAUGAAAUUGUAUCUUCAUCUUCUUUCCCUCUUCGACAUCCAUAGACUUUGUCUCAGCUUUGAAUUGUGGCAUAACAAACAUCAUCUCGUUGAUAGGAAAAUCAAGUUGACCAUAAUCAGUAUUUGUCACCACAAAGCUCUUCUUCGGAAUCUUUUCAAAAGAAUACAUGUGAUCGAACAUCACCCUGGAUUCUAUUGUUUCGUAAUUGUAUAUUUUCGAAGGAUCACCCUUAUCAACAUUUGAACCUUCAAGAGCUCUUUGUCGCAUUAUACUUUCAACAUGCCUCAUUCUCUCAACUUCAGCUGCCACUUCAGCUUUCUUCUCUUUGUUGGACUUCUCAACGAAGACUCCUUUUCCCUUGUCUUUAACAUUCGAAGGAGCUACAUUCUUUGAUGAAGAGUCAUCACUUUGUUUCCCGAUUACAAUACCUUUUGCAAUAGGUCUUGAAAUUGGAACAGUUGUAGUCACAGUUGAAAUGACUGGAGCAGCUGAAACAAUUGUUGGCUUUACAACAACUUUCGAAGGAUACACCUUUCCUACUACCUUCGUAUCUUCAGUUGUCUUCUCAUGUUCCCCAGCCUUUGCUUGACCAACCUUUUCUCCCCCUUGCACCCCUGUGACAGCAGGUGGGGCAUCUGAUACGUUUGGCAGAAGGCUUGAAAUGCGAAGUAAUGGAGCAAGGUGUUUUUGUAGGAUGGCUUCGAAAUGAAUGAAUUUUUGAGAAAGAAAUUCUUGAGAAAUAAUUGGAGAAGAAGAUUUCGAAGAUAUUUCUUGAAGUUCUUUCAGCAGUUUCACCAACUCUCCAAAACGUUGUUCUUCUGUGGCUGAAAGAGAGAUCAUCUGAGGGUUGACUUGUUCGAACAUCUUAACACACUGAACAACCGCAUCACAAAUAAUGUCGAUCUUCUGAUCUGCUGAUUCAUAUCCUUGUUGAAUAUUCUGAACCUCCUUCGUCAUUUCUUCACGAAGUUCACGAAUCUGCAUAUUAACGUCUUGUCGAACCUUCUUAACUUCCUGUACAAAGAGCACAUGACGCUUCUUCGUAACUGUCUUUAAAUCCUUCACCUCCUUCAGAAAAUCAUAUCUCAGAGAAUUGAUUCGAUUCUCUGUAGAACUAUCAUUCUGAUCAGUCCUCUCAAGAAUGCGGGUUUCAGAAUCACGUAUUAACCCUGAUGCCUUCGAAAUCACCCUGCUUUCCAUUUCCUUCAUUAUGGAAUCAACUUCCAUGAUAGUGAUUCCAGCACUUCCCACAUCCGCUUGAGAUUGCAAGAUAGAAUUCAAUUUUGAAUUCAAUAUCUUGAACUGCUUCAUCGUCAUCAGCAUAUGGUCAGGGAAAUCUUCUUCAGCUUUAUCAAAGGAAAGAGCUUCGAAUAUUCCUCCAAAUCCUUCGUUAUCAUUUUCCUCAACAACAGCCAUGGUUUCAACAACAGGUGAUGAUGGAUUUGGUGGAUCGGUUGAUUGUGUUGAGAAUAUAGUGGUGAAAGGUUGAUCCAUAAUAGAUUCGAAUGUUGGAGAAUCAGUUGUGGAAGUAACCUGAGGUAAAGACGUUGGUUCAAUGAGCUUUAUAUCAGCAAGCUUCGAAAUUUCAGUAGACUGAAGAACCUCUACUUCUUUAGGAAUUUCAUCUUCAGGAGUCUCAGGAACUUGAUCCACUUCUUCGAUACGUUGGGUUUUCUUUAAAAAUUUCGCCAUAUCUUCAGCCCUUCGUUUCUUAGAAGAUGGAGACACCGGAGCCGGAAUUUCCCGAACUGUGACCCCUUGAUGAGUAACCUGUGUUUUCUUCACCAAUUGAGAUUUUCUCUUGAUUUUUAUUCUUCGAAAAACCCCCGUUUUCGAAGGAAUUGUCUCUUUUGAUGGAGAGGCUUCGAUAACUGGUGUAUCAGCCACUGAAGUUAAAACAGGAGACACCUCUUCGAUAGUUCGAGAUGUAGCUAUUAGCUAUUGAUUCUUUUGUUCUGCUUUCAUCCUUUUUUCCGAAGACUCACCCUCUGUCUUCUUUGAUUUCUUCAAUUUCUUCUUCUCUUCUUGUUGUAACAUCCCAGUAACAACUAUUGUGUCAAUAGAUUGUAAAUAUGACACCAACACAUUAUUCGUGGGAUCCACCUUCUUGAGCAUUGCAUCUGGAAUUCGAGCAAUUGUGGUAAAGAUAGCCAGAUCAUCAUGUACCUCCUUCGGACUACCAUACAUGUGGAAAACUGCUUUCUCUUUGUAAUCCGGAACUCCGAUUUUCUCCUUCUGAUAGACAUAUUGGACUAUCAUACUCCAAUAUCGUGCACAAGAAAUCCCCUACUUAGCACUUGUCUUCGAAAUACUUGUUAUGAACUCUGUCCAUAAUUGCUCAGAAUAAUCAACUUGCAAAUCGUAGUAUAACCCAACUACCAUUGCAUAAACCUCCAUCCUUCCUUAUCGAGCCCNCAGUUCUUCCAGUAAGACAUCUAAGAAAGAUGCCAAAUAAAAAGUUCCAGAUUGUUGGUAACCCCGACUUCUUGAAGUCACUAAUACGCGUCAAUGGAGGUUGAUGACGCAUCUCAUUGAACAUAAACACCACUUAUGAAGAAGUAAGUUCAUCAUAAGGGACAGAAUUCGGAAUUCCCAAAAUCUUGCAAAACAACCACUUGGAGACCAUAAUUCUUGUAUCUGUAACCAUUGUGAAUUCCACACACCCAGUCUCCUUGUUAUAUGAUGUAGUAGAACCUGCCUUUGAUAACCAGGACAUCGGAGCAGCAAAUGAAUCAAACAUUGCUUUAGACAGAACAAAAUUCUGUAAAGCAACCACCAGCAUAUGAAGUUCCUCCGGAUACUUUGACAAAUCCGAUUCGACUUGGUAGUUGGAACCCUGGAUCUUCAGAAUCGGAACACUGAUGAUUUCAUCUGUAGUUGGUGAUGAAGUAGUCGCCAUUGAAGAUGAUUGGAGUAAAGAACGUAUGAAGAAUAUGAAUUGCAAAGAGAAUUUUGUGUUGCAGAGAGUUUGAUCACGUAAAGUGUUAUUGAGUUCUGAUUUGCCCUUUUAUAUGUAACCCUAGAAUUUUGAAUUUGAAGCGGGAUGCAUUAAAUGCUUGCUGACAUGGCACCUUGAAAAACGGAAUGUACUCAUCAAAAAGUAACAAUCGUAACUGUCAACACGCCUUACACGCUUAUCAUACACCAUGCGUCAUCAAGAGAUAAGACUGUUUGAUCUUCCCCAAAAGAAUUGUAACCGUCGGAUACCUUCGGAAUAGAGGUUAGGCUCUUUCACUUUGAGGUUUAAAAAGCGAAGUCAUUUGCCAGAAUUUCGAAAUCAUCAGUUUAAGUUGGUGUUACUCAAACCUCAAGGAUUUCGUGUGUGCUGUGUUCCGAAAGAAAUUAGAUGAGAAACAAAGAAAAUUUUUUUUUGGAAAACUUGUGAUGUCAACAAUUUCUUUUGACACAAAAACAAUUUUAUCCCAGGCAAAGAUAUCUUCGAAAAUUAUCAAGAGAGAUAAUUAACAGCUUGUUUGGUUUCCCGUGAAUUACAAUCGAUAACUUGUAGAGAAGUUUCGAAGGGUUUCUUUUAUAGGUCAAAUGGGUGGCUUCGAAAAUUUCGUUACAUAUCAACCUUAAAAUAAGGUGAGAAAUUGUAAACAAAAUUAGUUGUAUAACCAAUGUAGUUAGUGACAACUUGGUUGCGAAUGAUAUUCAAAGUAACUUAGAAUUUUGAAAAUAUACUCACACGGAAAUCAUAUUCAUAAAAACAUUUAUGCUGGAUCUUGUUGGGAACAAACAUCGUAGUUUUCGAAUGUUUGAUUAAGAUCACUCAAAAGAAAUGAAUAGGAUUUGGAGUAUAAAAGGUACUGAAGCAAAAGCUUCGUAAGAUCUGGAACAUGGUUCCCCGUCAAUUCCUUAAGGUUUAUAAGAUUUUGGGUUUCACUUCUAUCACGGACUCAUGAUAUUAGAUCAUAAACACAGAGUUGUGAUUUGUCUAGGUUUUGAUUGGUUUGAUCAAAGACCUCAAGGACAAAUUGCUUCGAAUAUUUGGAAUGUAAGAAUUGUUUGGUUUAAAAAGAUUGGAUAAGAAUCGAAGGGUACCUCUGUUAUAAUGGACAAAACAGAAAACUCUUAACUCAUUUGAGAAGAGUAAGGUAGCUCUUGUUGAUUUAUGCAAAUACAAGCCUUGUUGGGAAGAAAUUUUCAUGAGAUAAUUUCAUCAAGGCUUUCAUUUCCCAUACAUAGAAUCAUACGAGACUUGAGACAACAUGCAGCAGCAUGCCUCUAGGGACACCCUAACUAAUCCAAAGUGUAUCGAGAUCAUACCUUUCGUUCGAAACCAGUUGCAUGAAUCCUUCGUAUUUGAAACUUGACAAAACUCACAACACACAUGUUAAAACCGAAAAAAAAUAAAAGAUAUUUUUGAAAUUUUUGAAAUUUUUCAGAAAAAUUAAAGACAAACUGAAACAAAAUCUUUUUGGAUUUUUGAUUUUUCAAUAAAAGAAAAUAUUUUUGAUUUUUCAGGUUUUUCAUAAAAAAAAUUAAACAAACUAAAAAUCUAACCUUAGUUGAAAUGUGUACAAAUACGAAGCAUUCGAACCGUUGACUUGAACAGUAAUCUCUGAUUUUGUUAUUUCAAUAAGAAGUAAAUCUUCCGAAUGCGAAGCGUUCGAAGCGUUGACCAUGAACAGUAACCUCUGAACACUGAAUCACCCUUUCCUUCCAUACACCAAAUGAUUCAGACCCAUCACUCUUCGCUUUUAUCCAAUUGAAGUGAAUUUCCAUUAAUCAUUCCCAAUCCUUCUAAGAUACGAAGAAACGAUUUUUCAUCCAAAGCCUUUGUAAAAAUAUCUGCCAAUUGUUCCGUUGUUUUUACAAAAUGAACUUCAAUAUUUCCUUCUUCAACAUGAUCUUUAAUGAAGUGAUAUCGAAGAGCAAUGUGUUUGGUCUUCGAAUGCUGCACAGGAUUACGACAAAUUCUUAUUGCACUUUGUCAAUCACAAUAUAAAGGAAUCUUUUUCAUAUUAAUUGCAUAAUCUCGUAAUUGACUUUGAAUCCAAAUUAUUUGUGAUGUACACGCAGCAGCAGCUACAUAUUCAGCUUCAGCGGUUGAUAUUGAAACACAUGUUUGCUUCUUCGAUUGCCAACUGACCAACUUUCCAUCUAGCAAUUGACACCCACCAGUUGUGCUUUUACGAUCAAGACCGCAACCUCCAAGAUCCGCAUCUGAAUAAGCUUGUACAAAGAACCCUGUUUUCGAAGGAUACCACAAUCCUAACGAAGUAGUGCCUUUCAAAUAUCGGAAAAUAUUCUUUACUGCAGUCAGAUGUGGUUCUCGUGGAUUUGAUUGAUACCUUGCACAAUUACAAACAGAAUACAUAAUAUCAGGUCUACUUGCAGUUAAAUACAAUAAAGACCCAAUCAUGCUUCGAUAUAAAGUAAUAUCAACAGCAGAUUUAUCUAACGAAGGAGUUAGUUUUAUGCCCGUUGCCAUUGGUAUUCGUAACCUUGUGCUAUUCGUCAUUCCAAACUUUUCCAACAAAUUCUUCGUAUAUUUCUCCUGAUUAAUGAAGAUGCCUUCCCUGUUUUGACGAAUAUUCAAACCCAAAAAGUUAUUAAUUUUGCCCAUCAUACUCAUUUCAAAUUUGCUUUUCAUCAGAUCUUCGAAUUCUUUAGAUAAAGUAGGGUCAGUUGAGCCAAAAAUUAUAUCAUCAACAUAAAUUUGAACAAGCAUCAGAUGAUUUCCAAUUUUCUUUCGAAAUAAAGUAGGAUCAACUGAGCCUUGUUUAAAUUUAGAUUGUUUCAAAAAUUAUGUUAGAGUUGCAUACCAUGCUCUUGGUUCUUGUUUUAACCCAUAUACAGUUUUAUCUAGAAUAUAAACAUGAUCAGGAUGUUCUGAGUUUAUAAAACCUGGAGGUUGUUCAACAUAUAUCGUUUCUUCAAGUUCUCCAUUUAAGAAUGCACAUUUGACAUCCAUUUGAUAGACAUCAAAAUCUUUAUGAGCUGCAAAAGCCAGAAAAAUACGAACAGCCUCGAGUCUUGCAACAGGGGCAAAUGUUUCUUCGUAAUCAAUUCCUUCUUGUUGAGAAUAUCCUUUAACAACAAGUCUAGCUUUAUUUCGAAUAAUGUUUCCAUCUUUGUCAGUUUUGUUUUUAUAAAUCCAUUUGAGUCCAACAAUUGACACAUCAUCAGGUUUUGGAAUUAAUCUCCAAACCUUGUUUCUUUCGAAUUCAGACAAUUCAGCUUGCAUAGCAACAACCCAAUCAGAGUGUUCCAUUGCAACCUUAACUGUCUUUGGUUCGAUUUUGAAAAUAAAAACAUUAAACAUGCAUAAUUCUUUAUGAUUAUUCAGUACCUCAUUUCGUACUUUAAGUUGUGCUCUUGUCAUUAUACCUGCUUGUGGAUCACCAAGAAUUUGAUCUUUUGGAUGAUUUCUUGUCCAUUUAUCCAAUGGUGGAUAAUUAGGAUCAAAAUCCAAAAGUGCAUCUUCGAACGUAACAUCUGUUUCUGAUCCAUUUAUCGAAAUUUAAUCAUCAGCAUCAUCAAAAUAUUCUUCUUCAAGAAUUGGAUCAUUCUCAAGUAUGGGCUCCCCCUCGAUGAUUGACUCCGUUUCGAUAUUUUGCUCUGGUUCACUGAUCGGCUCUUCUUCAAGAGUUUUCUCCUCUUCGACAUUAACAUUUGUUGACAUGUUAUCUCUUUCACUAUAACUCUCCCCCUCAACAAAAGUAUUUGAAUCCAAGUGCUCCCCCUCCACUGGAUCAUCAGCUUGUUCAUUUGGGUUUAGAUUCAAAUUUGAAGUUGAAUCAUUGUUAUACUUCGAAUUUUCUGAUGUUUGAUUAUCAGUUGCAUUUCUUUCUGCGUCAAUUGCUUGAUCUGAAAUACCAAAUCGAAUCAUAAUCAACAUCAUCCAUAUCAAUUGAGUCCUCUAUAUUUGAAGAAUUUUGCAAAAUAGGAUAAUUUGCAAAUUUAUGAUUAGACUUUUUAAUGUAUUGAUCAUCAAAUGUCAAAUUAAAAGUUUCUUCCACUUUACGAGUUCGCUUAUUUAACACUCUAUAAGCAACUGAAUUGUGUGAGUAUCCCAAGAAAAUUCCUUCAUCUGCUUUUGUUUGAAACUUCGAAAGAUUAUCCUUAAGAUUCAAUAUAAAACACCUGCAUCCAAAAACAUGGAAAAAUUUGACAUUAGGUUUUCGAUUAUUGAUGAUUUCAUAAGGAGUAACAUUAAACCGUCUAUGAAUGAAUGAUCGAUUUUGAGUAAAACAAGCAGUUGAUACAGCUUCAGCCCAAAGAUAUUGAGGUAAAUUCGAAUAAGCCAACAUUGUUCUUGCAGCUUCACAUAAUGAUCGAUUUCUUCUCUCAACUACACCAUUUUGUUGUGGUGUAUAAGGAGAUGAAAAAUUAUGCGAAAUUCCUUUUUCCACCAGAAAUGAAUCGAAGACAUGAUUUUUGAAUUCAGUUCCAUGAUCACUUUUAAUUUUUCGAACUGUCUUCUUCAAUGAAACUUCCAUCUUUUUGAUAAAAUCAAUCAUCAUUUGUGGAACUUCGGAUUUUAACCUGAGAAAAUAAACCCACGUGAAUCUUGAAAAAUCAUCUACAAUUACCAAAAUGUACCUUUUCUUGUUAAGAGUAGCAACUGUUGAAGGACCACAUAAAUCAAUAUGCAAGAGUUCAAGGGGUUCAACAAUCUUCGAAUCUAUUGUGAUAGGAUGACCUUGUUUGUGUUGUUUUCCUACUUCACAAGCUGCACACAAACUGUCAUUAUCAUAUUUAAGAAUGGGUAAACCUCUUACCAGAUCUUGUAUGACAAGUUUGUUGAUGUUUCGAAAAUUGAGAUGUGAUAAUCUCCUGUGCCAUAACCAGCUAACAUCAGCAGCAGCCUUCGAAAGUAGACACACAGCAGGUUUGCCUACAAUAGGAACAAUAUCCAAUGUAAACAUAUCACCUUUUCUUUUUGACUUAAGUAAAACUUCCUUAGUCUUGACAUUCGAAAUGACACUUCCUUCUUCAUUAAAAAGAACUUGAUUGCCAGUGCCCACAACAAGUUGUGAAACACUUAUCAAGUUGUGUUGCAAACCUUCAACAAAUGCAACUCUGUUGAUAGUGAAAUUUCCAUUCGUUAUCUUCCCAUAACCCUUGACUUUGCAUUUGUGAUUAUUACCAAACUUAACCACUCCUCCAUUUUCUAGGCUUCGAAAAUCACGCAAGUUUUCCUUCUUCCCAGUCAUGUGACGUGAGCAACCGCUAUCAAUAUACCACUUGUUAUCAUAUUGCUCGUCACAAAGUACCUGCAAUCAUUGGAAAAAUUUAGGUACCCAAGCUUUGUUGGGUCCAUUCAAAUUAGGUUUGUGAUUCAAUUGUAAAGUACAACCAUUAACCCAAUCAUAUACUUUGGUUUUGANUGUAAUUCCUUUUGCAUAUGAUACUUUGUCAGCUUGUUUCUUCACAGGAUUAUAACAUUUUGCUGAAUUUGGAACAUAAUCAACUUUUGGUUUUGAAAGAUAUGAUUCAUGAUAAGAUGUCUUGUUUUGUAACUUUGAAGUCUGUGUUGCAACCUUUUUCUGAAAAAAAUUUCUUGGUAUUGUUGUUUUUGUUCCAUUUGAAACUUUUGAUUCCUUAUUUGAAAAUGAAGCAUUUUUCUUUUCAAAAAUUUGAGACUUUGAUUUUUCUUUAAAAGCUUUUCUUCUAUUUGAAAAUUUUGUUGAUAUCAUUUUUGAUGGCUCAACAGUUUGCCAAAAAAUUGUUUUUCUUGCUUGACGUUUCGAAAUAUUAUUUUCCUUUGAAAAAUUUUCAACUUGAGCUUUAAAUUCUUUUGAAUUUAAUUUUAUUGCUUUGUUGAUUGUUUUAACAUUUGUUUUAACACCUUCGUACUUUGUAAACACAUUUUCAGUUGAAACAACUUCCUUCUUUUCAACUUUUUACUUUUCAAUCCAUACUCUUUUUGAUUUUUGAUGUUGAAAUUUAUAUGAAUUCUUUGUAAGAUUAUUUUCAACUGUACUUUGAUUUGAAAAGAAUCCUUCAUUUGAAGUUUGCAUAUUGUCUUCCUCAACCAACUUUUUGAAUUCAUGCUUUAUAUUUUCAACAUUACCUGUGGUUACGAAGACUUGAUUUGGGAACACAAUAUCAUCAGUGCAUUUGAAGAUUGGAUAAACAACAAUAUUCGAUUCAAGAUAAUGAGCACCUUUUUCACUAAGAAUUUUCUCAAAUUCUUGUGUAUCCAAAUAGACUUGAUCAACAACCACUCGAGGAAUUUCAAUUUCUUUCGACCUUUGAAUUGUCUUCGAAUUUGUAUUUUCUUCCUCAAUGUCACUAUCAUCGGUUUGACUCUCAUGUAUUUCCACAAACUCCAUAUCACAAACUUUCGAAGUUGAGGGUUUAUCAGUUUCAAUUUUUAUUAAUAAAUCUUCACAUUUUUCUUUCCCUUUAAAUGAAUUUGCUACAUUUAUGACAGACAAUUGAGAACAAUCUACAUCUUCUAAAUCACUAAUUUCACUAAUAUUAUCAGAAUUAUCUUCAAUAUCAGCAAUAUUAGUUUCACAAUUAGAUGUAGAAUUCUCAGUCUUUUUCAAAAUUCGAAGUUGUUCUGAUUUAGUUAAGGUUUCAUUUACAAUUUUUACUAAAUCAUUAGCAUCAAGAUAAUCUUCGACUUUUGCAAUUCCAUAUCUAAACCUAUCAUCUGGAACUUUGUUAAAAUCAGAAAUUUCUUUUUCACAAUCAUAUGAAAUACUAUCAACCUUAGCUCUAUCAUAAGCUAAAAAUGGUAGUAAUUUUCUAUGUUGUUCCUUACUUAUUUCACACGAAUGAUGUAACUCAGUUAAUUUUCCAUACAAUCUUUUUGCUGAAUUACAGAAAAUAUUUCUUUGUGCUAACAACAAGUUUAUUUCUUUUGCUAAUUUUUCUCUAUCCUCCAUGAUAUUUGAAACUUGUAAUUCUAAGUAAUCAAUCCUAGUGACUUUUGAAUCCAACAUUUUUCUUGUCUCUAGUAAUUGAUCACUUAACUUUUUCGCUUCAUUGCUAGCAGACACAAUGAUUGAAUCAAAGUAAGUAACAGUUUCAUCAAAAGAUACUAACUCAGAAUUAUAUGCAGAAACUGGAAUGUUAAAAAUCAAGAAUNAUUCAAGAAUGUUACGUACCUUGGUAGUCAUGGGCGACCUGUCAGUAGACUUCGAAACGAAGCAUUGCCCACACACUUCGUCAGUCUGUUCAUCAUCUGAAUCCUCUUCCAUCUUUGCAUACAUAGCUCCAUGAGUUGGAUUUUUCAUCUCUUCAUCAUCUGAACCCGAAGACCAUAUUUGAUAUGUGCCAUCCGAUUCAGUUUCUACAUGAGCCACCAAUGACAAAUUCUUUGCUUUCUUCUUUACUUCCUCCAGUUUCUCAGUGUAGUAAGCUUCAUCCUUUGUUUUACUUUUCUUUUCUUCCUUCUUCCUCAACAAGCAAUCUACUGCCAAAUGAUUUGCUCCAUAGCAAUAAUGGCAAUUAAUCCCUGUAUCACCUUUCAAUAUCAUCUUCAUUUGCUCCAUCUCAUUCUUCGAAUAUGUCUUCAUUUCUUUUUUCUUUUCAUCCAGUUUGUUUUUGUUCUCAAAACUACCCUUCGAAUCUGAUGACUUCUUUGGAUUAAAAGGUUUCUUAAAAAAUUUCUUUACUCUAUUGUUUGAGUAAAAUGCAACAGCCUCAUCAUCAGAAAACCUUCUUCUUCAUCAUACUUUGAUUUUUCAUUCUCUCAUUCUGAAACCUUCGAAACUAGUGUCAGUGGUCCACCAAGACUUGCUAUUGUUUCCUCACCUAUUUCAUUAACUUCAUUUUCAUGAGAUUUUAGUUGAUUGUACAAGUCAUUCAAAGUCGAAGUAUCAAAACUUUGUUGAUUUUUCACCAUCAUACUCACACUUCUCCACUCCUUUCGAAGUCCCAUUACAAAUAUCAAAUUGUACUCCAUUGGUGACCUUAUUAUACUAUAACGAUUACAACGAUAGAUUAACUCGUUGAACCUAUCAUAGUAUGCUUCAAUAGACUCAUUUUCUUUUUGUCUGAAAUCUUUGAGUUCCACCAGGCAUUGUUUCACAGAUGUGAUCUUCGUCUUUUCACUUCCUUGAAAUUUGUCUUUGAGAUUGUUCCAGAUUUCUUUAGCUGUUGUGCAUGUUCUGACAUAAUUAUACACAACAGGAGGCAGAGCACCUCUUAAUUCCCUCAUGCAUUUCUUCUCCAGUUGUUUUAAACGAUUGGUUUGAUUAUCAACUUCCGAACUGCUUGAAGACAUACCGAUUGGCUGAACUUGUGCAGGUUGAUUGAUUUCUCCUGAGAUGCAUUUCCAUAACUCUUCAUCUAAUCCGUUCAAGUAAUCUUCCAUCCUAUCUGCCCACUGAUCAUAAUAUUCUAGAAUAAGCAUUGGAAUUUUUGUGGAUGAUCCAAGCAAAUGAGAAAAUGAUGUCAUCGAAUUCAGAUUGAAUGACGCCAUUGUUGUACGGACAAAAACUUCAAGAUGAUACUAAACUUUUGAGAAAUUUGAAAUCAAAUUGUAUAAUUCAAAUCAGAAUCACACAACGAACACUCGAUUAACAAAUAUUUUCGCAGAAUCAAAUCCUAGAUUGAGAUCAAGAAGAAUUUUUCAAUUUCAAAAACGACGGAAGCUUUUCGAAUCAAACAGUAGAUUCAAAAACCUUUUUGAUCGUAUGAAAAUUAGAUCACAGAAAGGAUUGCUGCUCUGAUACCAAUUGAAGAGAUUUGUAAUCGAGUUUAAUGAUCAAUUCACGUAAGAAUUAAGAAAGAUGAAAAAGAUGAACACGAGAGUAAAUAUAAUCUUUGUUCAUCUCAUAUUAUGCUUUUAAUUUUACAGAGUACAAAGGAAUUCUCUGUAAAGACUGUUUUCAAAAGUUCUCAACUCACUUAGUACAGACCCCUAUUUAUAGGAGAACAAAAGCAUAACAAAAUACUAAGGAGUAGACAUUAAGACUAUUCAUUAUAAUUCCUUAGUAAAAAUAACAUUACAUCCGAAGACACUACUUACGUAUACUUAAGAUCCUUCGUAACAACCUAACUAACACUUCGACAUAUUACAACAUUUAUACCCUUACAUACUACUAUCUGACUGCUUUACUAACUACUAUUCCGAGGACAUCCUGACUAUCCCUAGUCCUUCUAGUGAUUCCUCAUCUUGAUUUCUCAAAACCAGCCCUCAGUCAUCAAGUGCUGCAUCAACCUCGAACUCUUAUAUCCUUGAUACACUUAGCGUUCCGUCGAGGAAUUCUUCAGCUUGGUUCCUAAACCAACCGUCUACUAAUCCGGAUACAUGAAACUAUCUUUGGGAAGUUUCCAAACCCCCAACUCCUGAAUCCACACAACCCUGCAUGUCGUCUCUGCCACUGACUACUAACACGAAAUCAUCUCUUGCUAACCAUUCUCAAGAUCCUCAUUCGGACUCACUAGAUACUAACCAUCUCGAUUACAUGAACUAACUGUUGGGAAGUUCCUAAAACUCCCAAUCCUGUACUCCUCAAUCCAUCCAUCACUGCACUACUAUCUUUUCUUCUCAGAGGUCGUGUACUCAUUCUGGGUCUGCGUGCUCUUACCCUUGUAUACUCGGAGGGUUCUCCCUUACUUGGAUCUGGCCAACCUUCUUUCCAUUAAAAGGGCGAUCUGCUGCCCGCCAACGUUUACCUCUGUCGGCGCUCCAACUACCUUUUACCAGAUCCGAACCAUUCUUGCUAUCUAACUAAGCACCUUUCAAUCCUUAACUAUAUUUGCUUUAGCGACUGCAUCUUGAGAACCUGUGUUUGGGGUGCACAUCCCCAACCCACUUCCCUACUGUCCGUUGGCUACCUCACUAGAAGCUCUAAAUUGUCACUACUAAUGAUUUAACUGAUCAAUCCCGAAUGACACCUUUCGAAAGUAGUGAAGCAUUACUGAUUCUUACACAUACAUGCUACAGUCACCGAAUCUUAAGUAUCCUAAUCUAGAGGGGACGACCUCCAAUUUACCAUUCUAAUUCCAAGGUAUGCAGAUGGUAUAAAACUUCGUCACAAGCAAGUAAUAUAAUACCCCAACACAUAUGCUUAUUGAUAUUAAUGCAACAACAUAACAAUAAUAUCAUGAAUAAUAAUUGACAGGAAGGUAAAAGAUACGUACCCCCAACAUCCAGUGUUGCACGAAUCCUUGUUGAAAUUAUCCGGAAUACUCUGCUCCGAGCCGUGGGUGCCCUUGCCCGGCCCUGGCAACCGCUGGUGGUACUCGAAGUCAUAGGGGCAGGAGCUAUCACCUGUUAUGUUGUAUACAAACUCGGACAGUGGGCCUUCUUGUGGCCCCUCCGACUACAAUGGAAACAUAUCGGGUCAAGUUCCUGGGCGAUGGUAACAGUACAAUCUCUACAAAAAUGGUCAAUCCGGCCGAACUUGAAACAUCCAACAUCGCCACCACUUCUAUGCCUGCACGCACCCUUGUGCGUCCUACCACACUUCCCACAUCGACUGCAGCUCUAAUAGUCCCUCGAUCUCAAAUCCGACCCCUUAGGCAUCUUGCCCGAACCUGUGGCUACCUGUGUCUCAUCCAUUUUCCUCUUCCUUUCCGACUCCCUGCCCGUCUCUCGCUCCUGCGUUACCUCGUCGACCCCAUCCAUCGUCUAAACAACCAUUGUCUGAUCCUGGAGCUUCGCGGUCAACCUAUCAGUGAUCCUCACGACCAUGUUGGGCUGCUCCCCGCGAAUGGAUCGUGAAACCUCCUCAACUAUCCAAUCAUGCAGAGGUCUCUCUUGGAGACAGGGUGCCCCACUCACUCCUGUCCCCUAAUGGCAAAAGCUAGAAAAGGGAUCUCCCUCCCUGAUGGAUCCCUGAAUUCCAUAAGAAUCGGGUUCUAGACGAGCCCCAAUCUGUCCUAAAACUAUCCCAUCCCUAAAGGCCUCAAGAUGACUGUCCAUAAGCUCCACGAUGGCCUCUCUAACCGAACCGAAAAGCACUGGAGUCUGAUCAAUGAUGUUACGCAAUAUUUCUGCAGAAAUGAAAUCCCUCAUCUGAUCAUCAAGUUGCCCGGCUCCAGAGCCCGAGCCAGAUCCCUCCCCGGUACUUGAACUGCUAACUGGUAACUCACGCAAUGUCACCAAGAUGAAAAUAUAACACUUCCAGAUCAAUAUACACAUCGUUGUUGAGGGAUCUCUCACACACUCUACAAGUUCCCUGGUCUUGUCUCGGCCCCUCUUGAUUUGAGUACAGAUCCUGUGCUUUCAGUAGUNUGCCCCACUCACUCCUGUCCCCUAAUGGCAAAAGCUAGAAAAGGGAUCUCCCUCCCUGAUGGAUCCCUGAAUUCCAUAAGAAUCGGGUUCUAGACGAGCCCCAAUCUGUCCUAAAACUAUCCCAUCCCUAAAGGCCUCAAGAUGACUGUCCAUAAGCUCCACGAUGGCCUCUCUAACCGAACCGAAAAGCACUGGAGUCUGAUCAAUGAUGUUACGCAAUAUUUCUGCAGAAAUGAAAUCCCUCAUCUGAUCAUCAAGUUGCCCGGCUCCAGAGCCCGAGCCAGAUCCCUCCCCGGUACUUGAACUGCUAACUGGUAACUCACGCAAUGUCACCAAGAUGAAAAUAUAACACUUCCAGAUCAAUAUACACAUCGUUGUUGAGGGAUCUCUCACACACUCUACAAGUUCCCUGGUCUUGUCUCGGCCCCUCUUGAUUUGAGUACAGAUCCUGUGCUUUCAGUAGUACGGGCCCAUACUACCUUCCACAUCUAUCCAUACUUUCCUCAAGAUUUACCUUAACUCCACCAAGUCACUCUCCUGCUACUAACUUCCUAGGCUUGCCAUAGGGAACCUCUGAAUCCACCCAAACCAGUCCUCAGUUGCUGAAGGCCUCCUUGUAAUGCCAAUUAGCCACCACCUGAAUAUCAUCACAUGCAAUGAGGAUCGGAUAAUCCAUCGAGUAAAAGACUCGUCCCUACAACGGUUAGACUCAGACGAGAGCUGCACAAUAGGGUCAAAUCCGACACUCUAAGAUUAUUCAACCCUGACCACAUGUGACAUGACGUAUUCACCUAAUGGUUAACUCCUUUCACUCAGAGUCACAGAAAGCACAAAGCAAGCAGCAUUAGGAUAGAGGAAACAUACUCAUGUAAAACUAUUCUCAUCACAAGAAACUGUACAAGCAUAUGAUGCUAAGCUCAUACCAUCAGGCAUAACCUACACAAGCUAUCCUACUAAUGUCUACCCAAUACUAGCAUGCAAUUCUUAUCAAGCUUAAACACAUAAAGUAGGCACAUAAGGCAUCCUCCUAGAUCCUUAGUCCUAUACUAGCAUGUUGUUCUACUGAAACUGAAACUGAACUGAUCUGAAACUGAAACUAAAAAUGAUAACAUAAACUUGUAAUGGUAAUUGGCGAGUACUUACUUGAGCUCGGCUGAUUGCAUGUACCACACCCUUUUUCUCUUUUCAAAGUUCUUUUCUUUGUAAAAAAAAUAUUUUUGCUUUUUCUAAAACUCUUUUCUUUUCUCAAACUCCUUUUUACAAAAAUUGAUUUUCCUUUUGAAAAUUUCUAUACUAAUUCCUUAGUUUGAGUUUAGACACACCCGAAGGUGUGCCCGAAUCCCUCAAACCAAGGCUCUGAUACCAACUUGUAACGACCCAAUUUUCACGACUAAAAAUUUCUUUUAAAACAUUACUAAAACCAUAUUUAUAAAAACCGUUUCAUAAGUCAUAACAUAAUUUCAUAGUAUUAAUUCAAAUCAUAAACUUAUUAUCAGAGUAAAACAUCCCAGGCUAACUGACCAUGGUGUGUGCACUGCAACCUCUCUGAGCUCCUCCUUUGAAAACUGAGUACCUGAAACCAAAAAUUGAAACCAUAAGCACGAAUCUUAGUGAGCUCCCCUAAACUACCACAUACCAUACAAACAUAUAAAGCAUAUAUUGGGCCUUGCCUACUACAUCGGACCGAGAUCCGGACUAACUGGGGCCUUGCCCUUGCAUCGGACCGAUGUCCGGAACGGAGUGGGACAAGCGAAGUCCGGGCUAACUGGGGCCUUGCCUCCUGCAUCGGACCGAAGUCUGGAAACUGACUGGGACCUUGUCCCCUGCAUCAGACCGAUGUCCGGACUAACUGAGGCCUUGACCCCUACAUUGGACCGAAGUCCGGAAACUGACUGGGACCUUGUCCCCUGCAUCGGACCGAAGUCUGGACUAACUGCAUCGAACCGAACUCCGGAACUAACUCAACAUAGCAUACCAUAAACGUAUCAACUAGCAUGAACACAUAUACUGCAUAUUGCAUCGGGUCGUAGCCCGGAACACAUAACACAUAAAUCUUGUCUAAGCCACGAAGGCAUCAAACAUACUAACUACUACAUCGGACUGAAGUCCGGAAACUACUGCUAACUAAAUGGGUCGGCAUUGUGGCCUUAGACCCGUUCCUACUGUAAGGAAACUCACCUGCACUGCUGGAGUUCUUGCUGGUACCCUUUUAACUGCUAUCUGACAACUCCCGGACUGCUACUGCAAUGACUCCCCAAUCUACUAAUACCAAAUAUAACACUUAGUCCCAAACUACCCUUCAACAGUCAAACUUAGUCAGCUCUGGUCAAAGUCAAUCUUCCAGGUUGACCAUACUCGCCGAGUCAGCCUACUGACUCGCCGAGUUCAUAAGCUCAAAAACCCUUUCCUUCUCGACUCACCGAGCCAGCCCAUGACUCGCCGAGUCUACUGAUUUCUGAGUCCAGUCCUGUCCAACUCACUAAGUCUCCACUCAACUCACUGAUUCGAUUCUUAACUCGAAGGGUUUGGGGUUUUGCGACUUGACUAGCCGAUUCCAAGGCAAUCUUCAACAGACUCGCCGAGUUGUUCAUCCAACUCGUCGAGUUCAUCUCCAUCUUCAUACUACUCGCCGAGUCCACUCAAAGGACUCGCCGAGUCUAUUCAGUCCUUCAUACAUUCAGGGGCUUUUUGAGUCAUGCAGGGACUCCAAACUGUAGAUCCACUCUUCCAAAGCCUAUUCCUCACGUAAAGUUGCAAACUUUACGUAUAGCUAAGGAGUUCUAGGCCCAAAACACUCCAAACUAGGGUUUAAGGAAACCAUGCUUCACUUACACCCUCAAGACUGAUACUUUAUGACUCUCUAGACCAAAAUACACUUAGAUCUGAAGUAGCAACUUCAGAUCUGGGCUCUAACUCGAAAUGGUUCUUAAACAUGGCAUAAAAACCCCAAAUCUCACAACCAAGGGAAACCUAUAUUCAAAAGAGUGAAGGUAAUGACUUAUUACCUUCAAAUGCUCUGGAAAGGCCCUCAAACUAUGGAUCUACUGCAAAUCCUUGAAUCCCCAAUGGUGUCCUUCCUCCCUUCUUCUUCAAAUCACCCAAAAAUGGCAAGAAACUUGAACGAGUAAUAAUGGAGGCUUAGGGUUUUGGGUUCUGGAUGAGAGAGGCUAUAAGGAACCAUAAUGGAGAGAAUAAGAUGCAUAAAUAGUGCCCAAAGUCCUGGAUUUAGGGUUUCCCUCUUCAGACCGGACUCGUCGAGUCCAUGAGGCCGACUCGCUGAGUUGGUCACUUACCCGAUCCCCCGGUUCCCGUUCCGACUCGUCGAGUUCCUCCUUGGACUCGAUGAGUUGAACCAUUUGACUUACUGUUUUCUUUCCUUUCUUGGUCUUUCUGAUUCUGGUUGUUACAUCUGAGCAAAAAAACACAAACUAAAGUCAUCAGAAUUAUGAUGUCGGAGAUGACCGGCGUUGGACGGUAGAUCUGAACCGGAAACACCUUGGUGAUGUCGUUUUUUGUUGUGGUUCCAGAUUUGAGGAGAAAAAAACAUGAUUGACUUUACAUUUCGACGAAGGCUAAGCAGCUGACGACGGUGGUGUCGGCGGUGGUAGGUGGUGGUGGUAAUAAGGAAUGCGUGUUCUUCAAAAAUGGUGGGAGAGUUUGAAAGAAUUUAUUAUCAUUUGAAAAUAUAGAUCUGAUUUAAUGGUUCUUACGGUUCUUAAUCUUUUUUGGUUCUCAUUUGAACAUUUACCUAUAUAUAUANNNNNNNNNNNNNNNNNNNNNUAUAUUCUAACUAUUCAUUGUGUGAAGGAAGAGUUGGUUGUGAAUCAAUCAUUUUAGUUAUUUUAAGAAAGUGAUUAGUAAAUAUUAUUGAGUUAAAAAUAAUAGAAAAAUAUCAUCUAACUUCAUUGUAAGGGUAUUUUAGUCAAUUAACAUAACUUUAAAAAAGGAAAAUUGCAGACUUUAGGAACAAUUAAUUCUCUUACCUUUAAAAAACUGAUUUUUCUUGACAAUAAUUAUAUUAAUUCGUAUAUUCUAAAAGAAUGUGUUCAUGAUCAUCUUGAAAAAAAAACAUUAUAUUUUGACAUAAUAUUGUAAACAUACAUGAUCAAAAUUAAUAAUUUUUAAUGAAUACAUAUUGUAUAUGAAACAAAAUUUAAUAUUUUAGAAUCAGUAAUUACAUUCAUUCUUAAAGAAUACAAUUAUAAACAUAAAUUACAUGCAUUUUGAAAGAAUCAGUAAUUACAUUCAUUCUUAAAGAAUACAAUUUUGAACAUAAAUUACAUUCAUUCUAAAAGAAUACAACUAAUAACGGUUAACAAUUAAAUUUAUUCUUAAAAGAAUAAAACUAAGAAUGGUUAAAAAUCAAAUAAAAAUAUUGAAAUCUAAGUAAAACACUAAUAUAUUCUAAGAGUAUAUUGUCGCUAAUCCAUUCUGACAGAAUAACAAAUCCAUUUUUGAAGAAUACAUUAUGCUAGAAUAUGCUCUCGUUCUCCAUGUUGUUUUUUCUUUUCUUCUUCAAAACAAAAACCAACAAAGAAAACAUAAUCUACUUUCAAAUACUAAAAAUGUCAUUACAUAUGUGAAACUAGACAUUAACUUGUCAAUUGCUUCAUUAUGAACAUCCUUGAAAUCAUCAUCCAAUAACAUUCUACUCAUGUGCAGCUGGACAACAAUCAAUUGGUGUAAUACCAAUAAUCACAAACUUUCUUGUGUCCAGCUUGUACAAAUUUUGCCAUUUUCACGGCAUGUUUAUACAGAAAUUGCUGAAAAUUCACCAUAAAAAUGCAUAUAUAACACAACCUAGUGAAGAAAAUAGAGAUCUUGAGAUUUUUCUUUAGCUACAUAUUUUUCAUUUACCGCUUUAGUGCUCUGGCGUACUGACGCUGCAUGAGAAUUAUAAUCAUAAAUGAUUAUUCAGCAUCGUCCAUUCUUUCUUCCCCCACUGCCUUCCCCAUCACCAUAACAUGCACCACCACUACAACCACAUUUGNNNNNNNNNNNNNNNNNNNNNNNNNNNNNNNNNNNNNNNNNNNNNNNNNNNNNNNNNNNNNNNNNNNNNNNNNNNNNNNNNNNNNNNNNNNNNNNNNNNNNNNNNNNNNNNNNNNNNNNNNNNNNNNNNNNNNNNNNNNNNNNNNNNNNNNNNNNNNNNNNNNNNNNNNNNNNNNNNNNNNNNNNNNNNNNNNNNNNNNNNNNNNNNNNNNNNNNNNACAUUUAUACUCAUAUAUGAUUAUAUCUCUCUAUUAUAUAAUCAUUCACGAUUAGACAUAUAUCGUUAUUGUCGGUGCGUUGGAGCGUUAGAGUGAAAAAUAAUAAAUAUGUGACUCAGGUAGUGGUAGGCAGUUCGGAACCCACAUGGGGGUCCCGUUAAUAUAUUAUAUGUAUUUGUAUAUAUUAAUUAAAUAAAUAUAAUAAAUAAUAGCAAUGGUUUUAAUACUUAAAAUGUCAAAAAAAUCAGCUUUUUAAGUUGAAAUGUGAUAACAUUUUUGUUUUUUAACAUGUAAAUUAUGUUAUAAAUAACUAUUUUAACCCACAAAAUAGCUUUUUUAUGCCCAAAAUACAAAUUCUUUUAGCCCAAUAAAAAAUAUUACAAAAUAAAUCUGGGAAGGGAAAACAUUGGCGGGGGCGUGGGUUAAUCCAGGAAUUUAUGGAUGGGGUAGGAGAUGCAAUCUCUGUCUAACAUGAUAUUAUCGUUUGUCCCCGUUGACAUUCCAACUCAAAAUUUUUAUCUUUUUUAGAAUUUCAAGUGUAACUUCUCAUGUGUGUGUGUAUAUAUAUAUAUAAUCUCAAGGAACUUUAAGCAAUAAUAAAUUUUUGUGUCUUUAGGUUUUUACUACAAAUAUUUUAUGACUUUGACAUUUUUGGUCGUUAAAAUCAAAACUUUUUAUUUUAGCACUAAAAAAAAUAAAAAAAACUCUUUUAUACUUUUAUCACCAUAUUUUUCAACUUUGUCUUUCACACUAUUGCAACAAUAUUUUUGGAUUUUCUCCAUUAGUAUCUUUCUUUUGGUUAUUGUAUAUUUUUGGCCUCUAAUUUUAGAGGUUCUCAACUUUCUCUGGUAUCCGUGGUGAUUUACACUUUCAACAUAUAUCUUAUAAAGUUUGCCGAUUUUUUUCAUAUUAUCUUAAAAUCGGUGUAGCCGCGAAUGCUUUAAUAAUUUAUAUGCUAUGAUUUAAAUAUAACUCUAUUAAUUUAUAUAAUAUGAUUUAAAUAUAAAUCUAUCUAACAUGAUAUUAUCGGCGAUGCAAGAAAUCUUAUGUCUAUUUAUUGACAGAAAAUAUGAAACAUGCAACAUGCAAUGUUUUGUACUACAAACACUUGUACAUUUUUCAACCGUAAGUUUUGUUCAGGAUUGCAACUUCACCUCACUCCAAUCAUUUCACUCAUUUUUCUGUCUAAAUCUAAUAUAUUGAAACUGUCCAAGUCAAAUAAAUUGAAACUGAUUUUCUUUAUUAUUAGAUAUCUAAAAUACUAAAUUAUAAAUAUAAAAUAAUAAACCAUGUAAAAUUGUUGGCUUUACAUAGUAAUAUCUUGAAGUGUUUGUUAACGAGUAAUUCAAUAAAUUUGGAUUGGAAUAUAUUAUAAUUAAGGAGCGUUUUUAGAUAAUUUCUAAUCAAAUAUUUAGUAGGUUUUUAUUGACAAAAUGAAUAACUGAUUUUUCAUAUUAUAAAAGUUAAUCCUCCUUAAUAAAUAAAAAUAGUCAUUUGUCUUCUUUUCCUUGUUUUGAUACAUAUCAUUUUUUAAGAUUUUUAAAAUUGUUUUUUUCCACUUGUCAUUUUUUGAGAUUUUAAUUUUUUUUUAAAUAAAUUUUCAAAAAAUUUCANNNNNNNNNNNNNNNNNNNNNNNNNNNNNNNNNNNNNNNNNNNNNNNNNNNNNNNNNNNNNNNNNNNNNNNNNNNNNNNNNNNNNNNNNNNNNNNNNNNNNNNNNNNNNNNNNNNNNNNNNNNNNNNNNNNNNNNNNNNNNNNNNNNNNNNNNNNNNNNNNNNNNNNNNNNNNNNNNNNNNNNNNNNNNNNNNNNNNNNNNNNNNNNNNNNNNNNNNNNNNNNNNNNNNNNNNNNNNNNNNNNNNNNNNNNNNNNNNNNNNNNNNNNNNNNNNUAUAUAUAUAUAUAUAUAUAUUAUCAUUCUAUUAAUUUGAUAAAAAAAAUUCAUAAAUACUCCAAAUGAUUUGUUUUCUUUCAUAAAUGCUCCAAAAAAUUAAAUUUUGUUAUGAAAAAACAUUAUUUUAUAAAAUAUUUAAUUUUUACAUAUAUUCAUAUUAAAUUUUAUUUUUAAUAAAAUUCGUGUAAUACAUGGAUCUCACACCUAAUGUGACAUAUAUAGCUUUACUUUUUCAAUUUGUUUUCUAAAAAUGUUUAUAUGUCUAGUGUCCUAUGCAAAGUCUACCAAAAUAUUAACCCAUCUAUACAAUUUCACCACCAUACUAUAAAAUAAAUUAGAUCUUAUAAUUGUUUAAUUAUAAUUUCAAGUUAUAUAUUACCCUGUUUAUACCGCCCUUUUUGUUAUAUACUAAUAAAAACAAAAUAUUAUUUUCAAUAAAAUAUACCAUUAAAUAGUGUUUAUUUUUAACUUUAUAUAUGAAUUCCUAGUAAAUAUGCAUUGAGAACUAAAAAUAUAAAAAGAAAUGUAUUUAUAAACCUUCAAAAAGACUAAGACUAUUUUGUAACAAUAACUAAAAAAAGUGGACUAUUCCUUGUCCAACCCCAGAAUCGUCAUAAAAUGACCAAAGACUUGUAGCCUUGAUGAUUUACUACAUAGGCUUCCGUUUUAUACAAACUAGAUAAAUUAGGUUGCUCGGUGUGGAAUCGAGAAUGUACUCGGUGAUCUCGGCGAACACCGGCCGAGGCCUCGGCAUGCCGAACUCGGCUCGACAACUCGACGAUGGUUCACGGAUGAGAGAUAUUGUAUUUAUAUUUUUUUUACCCAUUAAUUACUCAAACUCUUUUUCAAAAAUUACCUUCUUUUCAAAAAAAAAUACCCAAUUUAAAAAACAUAACGUUUUUUUUUUAAUUUCAAAUUUUAAACACUCCAUUUUCAAUUAUAAAUACCAUCAUCCUUAUUCACUUGUCACCCCAUUUAAAUCUCCUUAAUUCUAUUUUCUUAACUUUCUUAUUUUCCCAUUUUUUUUCCACACGUAAUCACUAUAAAUGACUAUUGUUUGGUCGAUCUUACUUGCUCGUUCAUGGAUUUUUUUUUUGGUUAGGGAUAUUUCGUUUGACAUAAAUAAGCGUGUCGGGGUUUCCGUUAAGAAAGAGGCACCUGUUAAUUUCUUGACUAGCCCGACAAAAGAAAGGUCAACCAUCAGACCGGCUGACAUUUUGAUUUUGGAUGGGCGUACUAAGGAGUACGCUGCGUGUACUCGCGCGCUUAUUUUGUACGCGGAUUCAUCCGGGUACACUGGGCGUACCCAAGGUUACGCCGGACGUCUCUUCGUAAUCUAUCCCUUCCUCCUGACAGUAUCCCUUGACAACCAGACGAGCCUUGUUCCUUAUGACAUUACCUUCCUUGUCCAUUUUGUUUCUGAAGACCCAUUUAAGACCAACAACCGAAGCAUCUGGAGGAGUUGGAAUGAGGCGCCAGACUUUGUUCCUUUCAAACUCAUUCAGUUCGUCUUGCAUCGCUUGAACCCAAUCAGAGUGAUCGAGGGCAGUGUUCACUGUCUUCGGUUCGACUUUUGAUACAAAUGAGUUAAACAUACAAAACUCAACUUUUGAGAAUAAGGAUGUCUGUUUUGCCUUCAGUUGAGAUCGGGUCAGAACCUUGUCAGAUACAUCACCAACUACUUGAGAGAUGGGAUGAUCUCUGGUCCAUUUUGUAAGAGGAGGGUAAUUCGGAUCAAAGGAUGGAUCUAGUUCAGCGUUGAUCAUCUCUUCAGGCUCAGAUUGGCUAUCGAAAUCAAGCGUCAUAUCAUCAUGCUCCCUCUCAAUUGAUGAGUCUUGAGAAACAUGAGUUUCAGGGGUGUCUUGUGGUGCUGGAGUUUCAGGCAUUGAAGCACCUUCGUUUGGAGGGGCACCUUCGGUUGGAGAGGUACCUUCGGUUGGUGAAGGAUCUUCGGUUGAAGUAGUAGAGCUUGGCUCCCCCUGGACUUGUGAGCUUGGCUCCCCCUCGACUGAAGCAUUGUUGGUUGGAGAUUCAUCAGUGGGCGAUUCUCCUUCAUGCAUUCUUCUUGCAGCAUCUUCGACAAUCUGCUUCAUAUGAUCUAUUUUGUUGUCGGCUGCCCCUGCUUCUGAGAGAGAAGCUUUUUCCGGUUCAUCAAAGAGAUCCAGAAAAUUCUCGUACAUAUUGGCGAUUGAGAUUGUGACUUGACCAGUUUGAGGGAAGAUUUCCCUGGCAGUGUCAUCUAUGGCCUGUAGCUUCUUGACAUAGCUAUCGUCGAAGGUCACAUAGUAUGUUUCUUCAAUCCUUCUUGAUCGUUUGUUUAGGACCCUGUACGCCUUUGAAGUGAGUGAGUAACCCAGAAAGAUUCCCUCGUCGGCUUUGACAUCAAACUUGUUGCGGUGUUCUUUAGAGUUAAAGAUGAAACACCUUGAGCCAAAAACGUGGAAAAAUUUCACAUUGGGCUUCCUGUUGUUUAGUAUCUCAUAUGGUGUGAGCGUGAAUCGCUUGUUGAGAUAGGACCUGUUUUGUGUAUAACAAGCAGCAGAAAUAGCAUCAGCCCAAAAAUAUAGAGGUAAGGAAGCGAAACUUAACAUAGUUCGGGCAGCUUCACACAGAGAUCGGUUUCGUCUUUCGACUAUUCCAUUCUGCUGUGGUGUGUAGGGAGCUGAGAAAUUAUGGCUAAUUCCCUUUUCUGCAAGAAACGCUUCAAACUCCCUGUUCUUGAAUUCGAGACCAUUGUCGCUCCUGAUGUUGCGAACGACCUUCUUGAGCUGGACUUCAAUUUGCUUGAUAAACACUUUCAGCUUUUGAGUCGCUUCAGAUUUGAGCUUUAGAAAGAACACCCAUGUAAAUCUAGAGAAGUCAUCAACGACAACAAGAAUGUACUUGCUACCACCGAUGCUUUCAAUAGAUGAAGGACCACAUAAAUCGAUAUGAAGCAAUUCGAGUGGUUCAACAACUUUUGUGUUAACAAUGGAUGGGUGACUUUGACGACUCUGCUUUCCCAUUUCACAUGCAGCACAUAAAUGCUCUCUGUCAAACUUGAGCAAUGGAAGACCCCUAACAUGACCUCCAGUGACAAGUCGGUUGAUAUCUUUGAAAUUGAGAUGAGAGAGUCUUCUGUGCCACAACCAGCUUUCGUCGUAUUGAGCUUUUGAUAGCAGACAAAUUGCUGGGUUUCCUUUGAUGGGUUUCAUGUUCAGCGGAAACAUUUCACCCUUUCGCUCUGACUUCAGAAUCACUUUCUUUGUUGUUUUCUCUAUGAUUUCAGAACCUUCAUCAUCGAAUGAAACUUUGAGACCUGUACCUCCAACAAGCUGAGAUACACUGAUGAGGUUGUGUUGAAGUCCUUCCACAUAAGCCACCUUUCUUAUGGUAAAAUCACCAUUCGUUAUCAUCCCAUAUCCCUUUAUGGUGCCGUAAGAGUUAUUUCCAAACUUAACGUUGCCACCAUUUGCAAGAGAUCUGUAUUCCCUGAGUUCCUCCUUCCUUCCUGUCAUGUGACGCGAGCAGCCACUGUCGAUGUACCAUUCUUCGUCAAACUGCUCGUCACUUAUAACCUGCAAAAAUUAAGCAGAUUUAGGAACCCAAAGUUUCUUGGGUCCAUGUGAGGUUUUCAUGGGAACAGGAAUAGUUAGAGAGAUAUCAACAAGAUAUGUUCUUUUAAUUAAAGUUGUUUCAUCUUUCUUUUUAAUGGUGAAAACUUUUAUUUUGUUAGGAUUGGAUUUGUUCGCUUUAGACUCAGGUUUGAAUUCACCGACUUUCUGCUUUUCCUUCUGUUCAGCAGAUGGACGUGGUUUUUGAGAACCCAUGGAAUUAGUGUUAGAGCAAGAUGGAGAUGAACAAGAAGAAUUAGGAAGAGAGGAUUUGGAUUUGGAUGGAGGUGUCUUCCUUGCUGAUGACUCUAGGUGACCCUUUUGCUUUUGAUCGUUGGUGGGUUUAACUUUUGAGUCUUGUUCUCUUCUGACUUCAGAACUGAACCUCUGAGUUCGGUUGGAGUUGUUCUUGGAACCGAACCUUUGGUUUCGGUUGAAAUCCUUUUCAGAACCGAACCUUUGCUUUCGGUUGGUAUUUUCUUGCGAACCGAACCUUGGCUUUCGGUUGGUAUCUUCUUGCGAACCGAACCUUGGCUUUCGGUUGUUGGAAUUAUCGUGCUUUCUUACGGGAUUAUUUUCAUACUUCAGAUUCUUGUCCUUGUGUGAAUAGUAUGCAUUCUGGGAGUGCCAGAAUUGUUUCCUUUCAGAAAGGUUUUUCCUGUAUCUUAGGUUCCUUUCUAUCUUUUUAUCCCUCAUCUGUUUAGGUUGAUGAUGAACGUUCGCUUUCGCUUUUGAUGUAACCUUUGCUGAUUCCUUUUGAACUUUAGGAGUUUUUCUUUGAAACGAGGGAGCAGAGGGAAUAUCUGAAGAAGAUUCAGUUUGCCCUGAGGAAGUGGAAGGAGUAUCUGAUGAAGUUUCACUUCGAGCUGUUGGCGUUGAAGGAAUGUCUUCUUUUGCCGAAUGAUCACCCUCUUGAGGAGUGUCUUUAGUACCACUUGUGCUUGGUUCACUGAAAUUAUCAGGCUUGUUCAAGGGUUCAGGUAUGUAUCUCCCUUUCUUCAUCCAAGAGGUUCUUUCAGAUAGGCCAACGGUUUCGUUUCCAUUGUCAAUAGGAGCUUCCCAGAAGAACUCAUCACAGCCAUCAGCAUUGUCUUCGUUAACAAUAGCCGUGAGUUCAGCUGUCUGAUGUUCGGUUACUCCAGUCACUUUGUAUACCUGAUUCGGAGUGGUUCUGACCUUUUGAUAGACAACAGCCUUUUCUACUAAUUUCGGGGACUUUUGUUGGGACAAUCUAGCGAAUUCCACAGAAUUUUCAGAAAUAAGAUUUUUGUGGUUUUCAGUUUCGCUUUUCACAAAUUCUGAGCAGUCAACCGUAUCCUCUACAGAAAUUUCACUCAUGUUUUCGUCCUCGUUAAGCUCAGAUGCAUUUUCAACAUCAAUUUUAUUUUCUGAGCUUACUUUGGCAUUUAGAGAGUCAAACUUUUGUAUGGUUUCGGUUCUCAGUUUAAGUCUAUCAUUUUCGUCCAAAAGAUUUUUGAGCAUGUCCUUAUGGUCUUUGGAUUUAAUGAAGGACUCAAUUUUGUCCAGUCCAAUUUGAUAAGAUGGGUUGACAUCAUCAGACGAAAUCACACUCUCACAAUUGUAGACUUCGGCAUCGAUUUCAUCCUCCUUAAAUUCAAGGAAUGGUAGAAUCAUACGAUGGAUCUUUUUGCCUAUCUCACAAUCCAAGUGCAANNNNNNNNNNNNNNNNNNNNNNNNNNNNNNNNNNNNNNNNNNNNNNNNNNNNNNNNNNNNNNNNNNNNNNNNNNNNNNNNNNNNNNNNNNNNNNNNNNNNGUAUGAGCACAUAGGAUGUUCUUAGGACCAAAACCCAUCAGAAUAAGGAAAAAAGGCUUAAGGAGGAGGUUCCUUACCCCUGAAAUGUGCCCAAACAAAAGUAGAUUCCAGAUCUACCCAAACCCCUUGAUGAUGGCCUCCAAAUCCCCAAGCUUCUUACACCAAAAUUCUCUUCCAAGAUCUAAUUCUUUAUCAAUGGAGUCACACACACGAGAUGAGGGUUUCUGGAUCUCAAAUGGGUAGGAAAGUGGUUGAAGGUGGGUUAUAAUGUGCUUUAUAUAGGUCACAAUCCCCUUAUUAGGGUUUUCUCCCUUCAGCACCAACUCGCCGAGUCCAGCCGCGGACUCGCCGAGUUGGUCGCUUAACACGUUACUCGUAAUGCGACUCGANAGAACCGCGACUCGACUCGCCGAGUCUACCCAUCGACUCGCCGAGUUGGCCUUCCUUAUUUACACUAAGAACCUUGAACUUGCACUUCUGAACUCGGGGUGUUACAAUUCACCCCCACUUAAAUUAGGCUUCAUCCUAGAAGCCUGCAGCAACACAUAUCCAGAUAAUACUCCCACAUUACAGCUCCUGGUCUCAACCGACUCAGUUUCCUUCAAAUAUUGUUAACAAAUCUCAAUAAAACCCAACUCUUCCCUUACAGAGUGAUGAAACUUGCUUCAAACCAACCACCGGCUUCUUCCUUUUAAUGAUAAACACGUCAACUAAGUAUCACCCGAUGAUACUGUUGGGUUUUGAGCAUUCUAACACUCCUAUGGUGUACAUGCAACCCUAUAAACAUUGGAUCUAUGUUUUCUCUAUUAUACAUGCAAAUAAGAACUUUCCAAGGCUUUAAUCCUAACUAGCAUAUUAUGAAGCUCUUAUACUACAAAGUACUAGUUAGAUGACAUACCUUUUGAUGUAGCUUGAUGUCUUCAAGCUUUAAGAGCUUAGCCCCAAUAGUGUGGGAGCCUCAAGUGGAAUCACAAAUCACUAAAAACACCUUAGAAGACUUUAACAAUAAGAAUACUUUGGUUCUCUCUAGUGAAAUCAGCUAACCCUCUUAGUAUACCCACACUAGUGCCAAUUUCACCAACCAAUGACAUCUUUAUAUACUGUGGAGACUAGGGUUAAACCCAUGACCUUUCAUUUAAUAUGAUCCAUGGGUUAAUCACUCCAUGGACUAUCCAUGAAAGCUUAGCCCAAACUAAAUGAACUUGGCCCAUUCCAUAUAUAUAUAAGAGUCUAUAUUUAAUUAGUUCAUUUUGAUCACUUAAUUAAUUAUAAAUUAAUUCUUGAUCAAUACUAAUUAAAUAAUAUGAUUGCAUAUUAAUAUAUUAGAACUUAUAAUAUAUUAAUAUAAAUCAUAAAUAUACUAUUCUCAAAAGACUAUCCAUAUAAAUUGUGUCGGUGAAGUGCAACCCAAAUGGACCAUGUCGGGUCGGGUCAAGUACAUACCAAAUAUAGUUAUGGACUUAGACAUUAAUCCAACAGUCUCCCACUUGGAUAAGUCUAAAACUAUUAUUGCGUAUGACUUCAAACCUAACUGGCAAUCGUAGCUCUUAAAGCUGCUGUCGAACUCUGAUCUUGUCAACGAACUUGUCCAUUAGAUAAGGGAUCAUAUAUUCCUCCAUUCUAGAUAUCAUAUGGACUGAGACAUGGAUUAUAAUCAUUCUCUCUGUCCAUUUGUUGUUUCCCGAUUUCCGAUUCAUGAAGACUGACUGAUUGAACAAAUCAAAUCAAUCCUAGCUUGGCCAAGCACUCACAUGUGUCAUCAUUGAAUCAUCGAGGGGCCCACAAAUAUCUCUUUUAUCCCGAAGGUAAAAGGAAUGGAUAAACUUCGAAUCAUAUGGCCUGUUCUACUACUUGUUGAAUCAUAUACAAAGGCACGUUUUAUAACAUCGUUACCAAUGCGUUUUCGUGCAAUCAAUGUACUAUCAACUCAUAGUAACAACUCAUAUCUCUAGGUUUGAAGAAUAUAAGAUAUUAUCGUCUCAUGAUCACUCGUGAUAAAAUCCAUGAAGUGAUUCAAAUGAGCGCGGGUUGAAUCCAAUACUCAGAACUUACGAGCACUCAUGAGUGUUGUAGCACAACUUUGUCCACUAACUUGGACCUCUACAAGCCAACCCAUGACAAUAUUGAUUCAUAUCUACUUCCAACAUAUGAAUGACUGUGGAUGGUUUGAAUCACUUACUUAUUCCGAAAGAAUAACCUAGUUAUUAUGGAAGUCAAAACAUGCAAAGUGAAACACAAGAAUAAAUGAAUCUAAUAUGGUAUCAAAACCUUUGAAUAUAAAUAAAACACUUUCUAUUUAUCACCAUAUUGAUUACUCAUUAUUCAUUGUCUCGGUUUUAUCAACUUUAUACUUGAAUUAAAACACUAGGUGUCCCAUGCUCCAAGCAUAUACACUAUGUUUUCUAAACAAUAGCUUUGUUAUACACCAAGUAUGAACUCUAUGUUUGUCUAUGAUCCUUUUUCUUUGUGAAUUAGAUCAAUUGAACAUAAUUUCAAUGAUUCUCUUUUCAGACUCCCAAUUCCUUGUCUUAAAUGUAAGAAUUCCAAAUUCCUAUCAUUUAUCGAAAUCUGUUUAGAUUUUAAACUUAUAUGCAUUGUUCCUAUUGUAAUGAUUAUGCACAAAGCCACAAAGGCUUGGCAACAAUCAUUAUAAGAUAUUCCAAUGGAGAUCAACUCCUUGGAAACUAAGUCUCAUAUUCAAAGUACAUUGCCUUGAAGAUAAAAUAACACAACUAAUCUGUUAAAUAUGUCGCGAGAAAUAGAAAAAUCACUAAUAAUAACUACUUCGUUAGUAAAAAGAAACUAAAGAUUUCAUUUCUAAAAAUUCAC
Molecule: long non-coding RNA, 43471 nt
Filed under: Lactuca sativa (garden lettuce)
Lineage: Eukaryota; Viridiplantae; Streptophyta; Magnoliopsida; Asterales; Asteraceae
Description: long non-coding RNA (LSAT_LNC003034)
Source: RNAcentral